GUUGGCCCCAAUAGGGCAUGCAACCAUAUAUAGGAGCUGCAUGCAGCAAGAGAUUGGAAUAAACUCCAUUUAUUCUCAGUUCUGAAACCUCUUGUGAAAGAUGUAAGAAAUGGAUGAAAUCUCACAUGUAUCCAGCUUAGAUGUAGUCUUUCUUAAUAUGAAGGUCAACAGAAUGAUGCUCCAUGCAUCGAUCCUCCAUCCACUCACCUGAACACUUUCUAUUCCAUGAACAUUGAACACGCUGAAGCACUAGGGUCCUUCAACCUUGAAUGAAAUUAAUGUUGUCGUUGCCAUAGUGACGUGAUUGAUAUACCCAAGGCUAUCACUGCUCCUACACUGAUCUGAGACGCCAUGAUGGCCUAUGCACUCUUUCGUGGUUGUACUAUUCUAAUCAUCGGGAUUUUGCACUCCAAGAUAACGGAAUCCACCGAUUCCACACCUAAAGAUUCCGAAGAGAGACUAAUCUCGUUACUUUUUGAUGAGCUGAUUGAUGGAUACGAUUCAAGAGUUCCACCAUAUGU
Long non-coding RNA from Lytechinus pictus (painted urchin), 521 nucleotides. RefSeq lists it as uncharacterized. Lineage: Eukaryota; Metazoa; Echinodermata; Echinoidea; Temnopleuroida; Toxopneustidae. The record is from RefSeq and is a predicted model, not a curated record. The transcript is spliced from 4 exons.